UACGUAGGUGGCAAGCGUUGUCCGGAAUUAUUGGGCGUAAAGCGCGCGCAGGCGGCUUCUUAAGUCUGAUGUGAAAUCUCGGGGCUCAACCCCGAGCGGCCAUUGGAAACUGGGAAGCUUGAGUACAGAAGAGGAGAGUGGAAUUCCACGUGUAGCGGUGAAAUGCGUAGAUAUGUGGAGGAACACCAGUGGCGAAGGCGACUCUCUGGGCCGAUACUGACGCUGAGGAGCGAAAGCGUGGGGAGCGAACAGG
RNAcentral lists this ribosomal RNA (253 nucleotides) under uncultured bacterium. RNAcentral describes it as "partial 16S ribosomal RNA". It matches the Rfam family "Bacterial small subunit ribosomal RNA", at positions 524 to 776 of the family's 1533-position model. The record is from RNAcentral.